This 30-nucleotide non-coding RNA is filed under the name Cricetulus griseus (Chinese hamster). The record is from RNAcentral. Lineage: Eukaryota; Metazoa; Chordata; Mammalia; Rodentia; Cricetidae.
UAGCAGCAAUGGACCAGCGGAGAGCAGCGC